Non-coding RNA from Phrynosoma platyrhinos (Desert horned lizard), 72 nucleotides. The record is from the annotation of a GenBank genome assembly. Lineage: Eukaryota; Metazoa; Chordata; Lepidosauria; Squamata; Phrynosomatidae.
GACAGCAUGGUGUAGUGGUUUGAACAUUAGACUAAGACUCUGGAGGCCAGGGCUCAAAUUCCCAUUUGGCCA